AGAGUUUGAUCCUGGCUCAGAAUGAACGUUGGCGGCGUGGAUUAGGCAUGCAAGUCGAACGGGCCUGGUAGCAAUAUCAGGUCAGUGGCGUAAGGGUGAGUAAGGCGACGGCAACCAACCCCAUGGUUGGGCAUAGCCGCGGGAAACUGCGGGUAAUUCCCAGCGAUGUUCGUGCCGGGCAUCCGGCGUGAACCAAAGUU
RNAcentral lists this ribosomal RNA (200 nucleotides) under uncultured bacterium. Its description in RNAcentral is "partial 16S ribosomal RNA". It matches the Rfam family "Bacterial small subunit ribosomal RNA", at positions 8 to 208 of the family's 1533-position model. The record is from RNAcentral.